GCGUCUUAAGCAUGCAAGUCAAACGGGAUGUAGCAAUACAUCUAGUGGCGAACGGGUGAGUAACGCGUGGAUGAUCUACCUACGAGAUGGGGAUAACUAUUAGAAAUAGUAGCUAAUACCGAAUAAAGUCAAUCAAUUUGUUAAUUGAUGAAAGGAAGCCUUUAAAGCUUCGCUUGUAGAUGAGUCUGCGUCUUAUUAGCUAGUUGGUAGGGUAAAUGCCUACCAAGGCGAUGAUAAGUAACCGGCCUGAGAGGGUGAACGGUCACACUGGAACUGAGAUACGGUCCAGACUCCUACGGGAGGCAGCAGCUAAGAAUCUUCCGCAAUGGGCGAAAGCCUGACGGAGCGACACUGCGUGAAUGAAGAAGGUCGAAAGAUUGUAAAAUUCUUUUAUAAAUGAGGAAUAAGCUUUGUAGGAAAUGACGAAGUGAUGACGUUAAUUUAUGAAUAAGCCCCGGCUAAUUACGUGCCAGCAGCCGCGGUAAUACGUAAGGGGCGAGCGUUGUUCGGGAUUAUUGGGCGUAAAGGGUGAGUAGGCGGAUAUAUAAGUCUAUGCAUAAAAUACCACAGCUCAACUGUGGAACUAUGUUGGAAACUAUAUGUCUAGAGUCUGAUAGAGGAAGUUAGAAUUUCUGGUGUAAGGGUGGAAUCUGUUGAUAUCAGAAAGAAUACCGGAGGCGAAGGCGAACUUCUGGGUCAAGACUGACGCUGAGUCACGAAAGCGUAGGGAGCAAACAGGAUUAGAUACCCUGGUAGUCUACGCUGUAAACGAUGCACACUUGGUGUUAACUAAAAGUUAGUACCGAAGCUAACGUG
This 816-nucleotide ribosomal RNA is filed under the name Borreliella garinii. Its description in RNAcentral is "bacterial SSU rRNA". It matches the Rfam family "Bacterial small subunit ribosomal RNA", at positions 44 to 859 of the family's 1533-position model. Lineage: Bacteria; Pseudomonadati; Spirochaetota; Spirochaetia; Spirochaetales; Borreliaceae. The record is from RNAcentral.